ACUUGAAUGUGAGGGAAAAGAUACUAAUCCUAAUUGACACAUGGCAAGAAGCCUUCGGGGGACCUUAGGGGAGAUGUCCUCAAUACUAUGCAGCAUAUAAUGAACUGAAGGCUGCUGGAGUUGAAUUCCCACCUCGAGAAGAGAGCAGUGUACCAUUCUUUACUCCACCCCAGACCCAGCCAAUAAUUUCUCCUGUUACUGAAUACAAUGAUGCUGCUAUUGAGGCCUCUUUACAGUCUGAUGCUUCAGGCCUCAGGUACUGUCUCGAUGACAACUGACUUUUGUUUGUCAUAAACAUUUAUUCAAAUUCUUGGUACUUA
This is a long non-coding RNA of Humulus lupulus (European hop), 320 nucleotides long. RefSeq lists it as uncharacterized. The transcript is spliced from 2 exons. The record is from RefSeq and is a predicted model, not a curated record. Lineage: Eukaryota; Viridiplantae; Streptophyta; Magnoliopsida; Rosales; Cannabaceae.